GGGGUUGUGGCUCAGCGGUAGAGCACUUGCCUAGCAUGUGCAAGGCCCUGGGUUCGAUCCUCAGCACCA
Molecule: transfer RNA, 69 nt
Filed under: Marmota marmota marmota (Alpine marmot)
Lineage: Eukaryota; Metazoa; Chordata; Mammalia; Rodentia; Sciuridae
Also listed under: 1 other name
Rfam family: tRNA
About the family: Transfer RNA (tRNA) molecules are approximately 80 nucleotides in length.
Source: Rfam by way of RNAcentral